CAGCCGCCGCGGUAAAACGAAGGGGGCUAGCGUUGUUCGGAAUCACUGGGCGUAAAGCGCACGUAGGCGGACACUUAAGUCAGAGGUGAAAUCCCAAGGCUCAACCUUGGAACUGCCUUUGAUACUGGGUGUCUUGAGUUCGGGAGAGGUGAGUGGAACUGCGUGUGUAGAGGUGAAAUUCGUAGAUAUUCGCAAGAACACCGGUGGCGAAGGCGGCUCACUGGCCCGAUACUGACGCUGAGGCACGAAAGCGUGGGGAGCAAACAGGAUUAGAGACCCCAGUAGUCCCUGUCUCUUAUAC
RNAcentral lists this ribosomal RNA (301 nucleotides) under uncultured bacterium. RNAcentral describes it as "partial 16S ribosomal RNA". It matches the Rfam family "Bacterial small subunit ribosomal RNA", at positions 509 to 807 of the family's 1533-position model. The record is from RNAcentral.